Mytilus californianus (California mussel) is the source of this 713-nucleotide long non-coding RNA. RefSeq lists it as uncharacterized. The transcript is spliced from 6 exons. The record is from RefSeq and is a predicted model, not a curated record. NCBI's taxonomy places the organism in Eukaryota, Metazoa, Mollusca, Bivalvia, Mytilida, Mytilidae.
UUUGAAGCGUAUGAUUGGUGAAAGGUAUGUAGGUAGUAUAUGAUUGGUGGAAGGUAUGUUGGUAGUGUAUGAUUGGUGGAAGGUAUGUUGGUAGUGUAUGAUUGGUGAAAGGUAUGUUGGUAUUGUAUGAUUGGUGGAAUGUGUGUUUGAAGCAUAUGAUUGGUGGAAGGUAUGUAGGUUGUAUAUGAUUGGUGGAAGGUAUGUUGGUAGUGUAUGAUUGGUGGAAGGUAUGUUGGUAGUGUAUGAUUGGUGGAAUGUGUGUUUGAAGCAUAUGAUUGGUGGAAGGUAUGUAGGUUGUAUAUGAUUGGUGGAAGGUAUGUUGGUAGUGUAUGAUUGGUGGAAGGUAUGUUGGUAGUGUAUGAUUGGUGGAAGGUAUGUUGGUAGUGUAUGAUUGGUGGAAGGUAUGUUGGUAUUGUAUGAUUGGUGGAAUGUGUGUUUGAAGCAUAUGAUUGGUGGAAGGUAUGUAGGUAGUAUAUGAUUGGUGGAAGGUAUGUUGGUAGUGUAUGAUUGGUGGAAGGUAUGUAGGUAGUGUAUGAUUGGUGGAAGGUGUGUUGGUAGUGUAUGAUUGAUGGAAGGUGUGUUGGUAGUGUAUGAUUGAUGGAAGGUGUGUUGGUAGUGUAUGAUUGAUGGAAGGGAUGUUGGUAUUGUAUGAUUGGUGGAAUGUGUGUUUGAAGCAUAUGAUUGGUGGAAGGUAUGUUAGCAGUGUAUGAUUG